Molecule: ribosomal RNA, 472 nt
Filed under: uncultured bacterium
Lineage: Bacteria
Description: bacterial SSU rRNA
Rfam family: Bacterial small subunit ribosomal RNA
Source: RNAcentral
ACUCCUACGGGAGGCAGCAGUGGGGAAUAUUGCACAAUGGGGGAAACCCUGAUGCAGCCAUGCCGCGUGUGUGAAGAAGGCCUUCGGGUUGUAAAGCACUUUCAGUAGGGAGGAAGGUAGUGUAGUUAACACCUGCAUUAUUUGACGUUACCUACAGAAGAAGCACCGGCUAACUCCGUGCCAGCAGCCGCGGUAAUACGGAGGGUGCGAGCGUUAAUCGGAAUUACUGGGCGUAAAGCGCAUGCGGGCGGCCUGUUAAGUCAGAUGUGAAAGCCCGGGGCUCAACCUCGGAAUUGCAUUUGAAACUGGCAGACUAGAGUACUGUAGAGGGGGGUAGAAUUUCAGGUGUAGCGGUGAAAUGCGUAGAGAUCUGAAGGAAUACCGGUGGCGAAGGCGGCCCCCUGGACAGAUACUGACACUCAGAUGCGAAAGCGUGGGGAGCAAACAGGAUUAGAUACCCCUGGUAGGAUAG